CCUACGGGCGGCAGCAGUGAGGAAUAUUGGUCAAUGGGCGGAAGCCUGAACCAGUCAAGUCGCGUGAGGGAUUAAGGCCCUGCGGGUCGUAAACCUCUUUUGCCGGGGAGCAGUGGUCCGGACGAGUCCGGGCCGGGAGAGUACCCGGAGAAAAAGCAUCGGCUAACUCCGUGCCAGCAGCCGCGGUAAUACGGAGGAUGCGAGCGUUAUCCGGAUUUAUUGGGUUUAAAGGGUGCGUAGGCGGGCAUUUAAGCCGGCGGUCAAAUGUCGGGGCUCAACCCCGGCCUGCCGUCGGAACUGGGUGCCUUGAGUGGGCGAGAAGUAUGCGGAAUGCGUGGUGUAGCGGUGAAAUGCAUAGAUAUCACGCAGAACCCCGAUUGCGAAGGCAGCAUACCGGCGCCCGACUGACGCUGAGGCACGAAAGUGCGGGUAUCGAACAGGAUUAGAUACCCGGGUAGUC
This 460-nucleotide ribosomal RNA is filed under the name uncultured bacterium. RNAcentral's name for it is "partial 16S ribosomal RNA". It matches the Rfam family "Bacterial small subunit ribosomal RNA", at positions 338 to 795 of the family's 1533-position model. The record is from RNAcentral.